GGAAUAUAAGAACCCGUCUCUUAACUUUUAACUAAAAAAAUUAAGAACCAGAUUCUUAGCUUUUUUAGUUAAAAGUUAAGAGACAAGUUAUUAUAUUUU
Molecule: microRNA precursor, 99 nt
Filed under: Brassica napus (rape)
Lineage: Eukaryota; Viridiplantae; Streptophyta; Magnoliopsida; Brassicales; Brassicaceae
Description: MIR9563 microRNA precursor family
Rfam family: MIR9563 microRNA precursor family
Source: Rfam by way of RNAcentral